GUGGGUAUAGCUUAGUGGUAGAGCAUGUGCUUAGCAUGCACGAGGUCCAGGGGUCAAUCCCCAGUCCCUCCA
This 72-nucleotide transfer RNA is filed under the name Camelus bactrianus (Bactrian camel). It matches the Rfam family "tRNA". Rfam says of the family: Transfer RNA (tRNA) molecules are approximately 80 nucleotides in length. Their secondary structure includes four short double-helical elements and three loops (D, anti-codon, and T loops). Further hydrogen bonds mediate the characteristic L-shaped molecular structure. tRNAs have two regions of fundamental functional importance: the anti-codon, which is responsible for specific mRNA codon recognition, and the 3' end, to which the tRNAs corresponding amino acid is attached (by aminoacyl-tRNA synthetases). tRNAs cope with the degeneracy of the genetic code in two manners: having more than one tRNA (with a specific anti-codon) for a particular amino acid; and 'wobble' base-pairing, i.e. permitting non-standard base-pairing at the 3rd anti-codon position. Lineage: Eukaryota; Metazoa; Chordata; Mammalia; Artiodactyla; Camelidae. The record is from Rfam by way of RNAcentral. RNAcentral also lists the same sequence under 2 other names.